UACGGAAGGCAGCAGUGGGGAAUAUUGCACAAUGGGCGCAAGCCUGAUGCAGCCAUGCCGCGUGUAUGAAAAAGGCCUUCGGGUUGUAAAGUACUUUCAGUCGUGAGGAAGGUGUUAAGGUUAAUAACCUUAGCAAUUGACGUUAGCGACAGAAGAAGCACCGGCUAACUCCGUGCCAGCAGCCGCGGUAAUACGGAGGGUGCGAGCGUUAAUCGGAAUUACUGGGCGUAAAGGGCACGCAGGCGGUUAAUUAAGUUGGAUGUGAAAUCCCCGGGCUUAACCUGGGAAUGGCAUUCAAGCUGGUUAGCUAGAGUCUUGUAGAGGGGGUAGAAUUCCAUGUGUAGCGGUGAAAUGCGUAGAGAUGUGGAGGAAUACCGGUGGCGAAGGCGGCCCCUGGACAAAGACUGACGCUCAUGUGCGAAAGCGUGGGGAGCAAACGAGGGAUUAGAUACC
This 453-nucleotide ribosomal RNA is filed under the name uncultured bacterium. RNAcentral's name for it is "bacterial SSU rRNA". It matches the Rfam family "Bacterial small subunit ribosomal RNA", at positions 340 to 786 of the family's 1533-position model. The record is from RNAcentral.